GGCAGCACAGCAGUAGCAAUACUGUGGGUGGCGAGUGGCGGACGGGUGAGUAAUGCAUCGGGACCUACCUAGACGUGGGGGAUAACGUAGGGAAACUUACGCUAAUACCGCAUACGUCCUACGGGAGAAAGCAGGGGACCUUCGGGCCUUGCGCGGUUAGACGGACCGAUGUUCGAUUAGCUAGUUGGUAGGGUAAUGGCCUACCAAGGCGACGAUCGAUAGCUGGUCUGAGAGGAUGAUCAGCCACACUGGAACUGAGACACGGUCCAGACUCCUACGGGAGGCAGCAGUGGGGAAUAUUGGACAAUGGGCGCAAGCCUGAUCCAGCAAUGCCGCGUGUGUGAAGAAGGCCUUCGGGUUGUAAAGCACUUUUAUCAGGAGCGAAACGCUGUCGGCUAAUACCCGGCGGAACUGACGGUACCUGAGGAAUAAGCACCGGCUAACUUCGUGCCAGCAGCCGCGGUAAUACGAAGGGUGCAAGCGUUAAUCGGAAUUACUGGGCGUAAAGCGUGCGUAGGCGGUUUGUUAAGUCUGUUGUGAAAUCCCCGGGCUCAACCUGGGAAUGGCAAUGGAUACUGGCAAGCUAGAGUGUGAUAGAGGAUGGUGGAAUUCCCGGUGUAGCGGUGAAAUGCGUAGAGAUCGGGAGGAACAUCAGUGGCG
This 660-nucleotide ribosomal RNA is filed under the name uncultured Gammaproteobacteria bacterium. Its description in RNAcentral is "bacterial SSU rRNA". It matches the Rfam family "Bacterial small subunit ribosomal RNA", at positions 65 to 717 of the family's 1533-position model. Lineage: Bacteria; Pseudomonadati; Pseudomonadota; Gammaproteobacteria. The record is from RNAcentral.